Molecule: long non-coding RNA, 365 nt
Filed under: Androctonus crassicauda
Lineage: Eukaryota; Metazoa; Arthropoda; Arachnida; Scorpiones; Buthidae
Source: RNAcentral
GAAACAACCGGAAGAUCCUGAACUGAUGAAUUAGAUGGACGAUCACAAUUGAUAAUCUUUAGUCCUUAAAUCACAGUCUUUAGUUCAUAUAUAUAUGUUGAUCGGAGCACUAAAUAAUUUUUCUUAUUGUAGUAUUCGUUGCCCGGUGCAGGUCUCAGUAGAAUACAAUUCGGGUUUUAGGAGGAUGAUGAUCACUGCCCGGUGCGGGUCUCAGUGCGGAAUCGGGAUCUCUGUGUUGUUUCACGACGUCUGUCCACUACCAAAGUUUUUCCACGACUCCCCUAUUUUUCGAAGUCUUCACUAUUAUAUUUUGGCUUCCUUUCCCUCUUUUGAUAUAUGUCUUUUUCCCUGACUACAUUCCUUAA